Non-coding RNA from Chrysemys picta bellii (western painted turtle), 3746 nucleotides. NCBI's taxonomy places the organism in Eukaryota, Metazoa, Chordata, Testudines, Emydidae. The record is from RefSeq and is a predicted model, not a curated record.
ACCUGUUGGUAUUUCUGACAUUCAGGAAGGUGGGCGACAGUUUAAGUGUUGGGCAGUUCGGAGGUAGCUGAAUCUUCUGAUGCAAGAGGGGAUGCCUCUCCUCACCCUCCUGGACAGGUGACUGGACACUGGGGGUGAGAUCCUGUGCUCUGCCUCUAAGAGGCAUAGCACCAACCUCUCAACCCAGGUGGAGCAGGGCUAAGGUAGGGUUAGGCCACUCUUUCAUCCACCUGAUCCUGGGCCACUGCAGGGGCUGGAGUGACCACUAGUGUUAUUUAGACAGCUCUGUCUAAAUUAAUGGUAGCCUAUUCCUGCCAUUCAGUCUUGAUUAAAAAUUGCCAGUGAUGGAGAAUUCACCACAGCUCUUGGUAAGUUGUUCCAAAGGAUAAUUAUCCUUGCAGUUUAAAAGGCAAAACAAAAAAAAGCCUUAUUUCCAGUCUGAAUUUGUCUAGCUUCAACUUCCAGCCAUUGGAUUGUGUUAUCUUUUUGUCUGCUAGACCGAAGAGCUCAUUAUCUAAUGUUUGUUCCCUGUGUAGAUAGUUAUAAACUGUAAUCAAGUUUACAACCCCUUAACUUUCAAGAAGCUGGAUCUAUUUAGCAUAAAGAGAGUCUGUCACUAUCAGGCAUGUUUUGUAAUCCUUUAAUCAUUCUCCUGGUUCUUCUCUGAACCCCCCUCCAAUUUAUUAACAUCCUUCUUGAAUUGGGAACACCAGAAUUAAACACCCUGUUCCAGCAGUGAUCAUAUCAGUGUGUGUGUUGUGGGGGGAAAUCACCUAAUAUAACCUCCUUACUCCUAUUCAGUAUUCCCAUUUGUACAUCCAAGGAGCACAUUAGCCCUUUUGGCCAUGGCAUUGUACUAGAAGCUGAUGUUCAGCUGAUUUUUCACCAUGGCUGCCACAUCAGAGUUGCUGCUUCCUGGAAUGGAGUACCCAUCCUGUAUGUAUGGCCUAAAUUCUUUGUUCCCGGAUGUAUGACUUUAUAUUAGGCCAUAUUGAAAUGCACAUUGGCUUGUGCAGCUUACCAAGUAUUAGAGACCAGGUUGUGGGCAGUCAGGCCUAGUGAUUGGAACAGGAGUCCAAAGUCAGGAAUCAGAGCCAUGGGCUCAGAGCUGGGUUACCUGGAAUGGGGCAAGGCUGGGUCCAAGGCAGGAGCUAUCACAAGUGUGGGCAAAUGCUUUGAGAAGCCACUGCAGACCUGCUGCUGCUGGGCUUAAGAGCCAGUCUGCUGACUCUUCCAACCAAUCAGGCAGCCUACUACAGGCCAGCUGUGCGUGUUAGGUUGCUUGCAGACUGGCUCUGCUGCAAGCCCUGAUUCCUGACACCAAGUGGUCAUAUCGCUCUGUCCUCAUCUUUACUUAUCAUGCCUACAAUCUUUGUGUCACCUGCAAACUUUAUCAGUGAUGAUUUUAAUUUCUUCCAGGUCAUUAAUCAAGAUAUUAAAUAGUGUAAGCUCAUUAAUUAAAUGAUACAAGCAAGGUUAUCUUUGCCCUUAUGUAAACACAUUUGCCACCACAUGGUGCUCCAGCAACUACUCAUCACUCUACCCCUUCUCCUGAGGAUUCUCCCCUUCCUUUCCAGGACCCCACUGCAUUGUGGGACAGGAGACUGAACUGCAUGGAGGAGUCCAGAUCACUCCCAUCAUUGGCCCCCAGAGGGAAACACAAGAGAAAGAAAGGGAAACCAUUUGUCCAGUGACAAAAUAAAGAACAAAAAGAAACUGAAGAACCCAAAAAAGGCAAAAUAAAACUCACAAAAACCUACUGAAAAAUUAAAUGAAAAUAACUAAAAAUCUUCUCUAUCUCCUCAAGCACCAUCACCCAGUGGAGGUGCAACUCUGCAUAAUUAUGCAGCAGCAGCUUUGGGGGAGGGGCCGGAGCCUCUCCUGUGCCAUUGGUAUUGGUAGCAUGAGGUUGUAGUAGGGCCCAGUCCUGGACCCUCUCAAUGUAAGCAGUGCUCAUGCACCUCAGAACCAGUCUAGACAGGCAAUGGGCAGAAAAAGUAAUGUACAGGUGCAAAUAGACAUGCGCCUGCUGCUGGCAGUUGUGCUAGGAGUUCUGCAGCAAUUCACAGGUCUUGCAAAGCUUGCAGGGAGUAUUCUGUCUGUGGAUGCAGUGCUCACUGUGGCUCCAAAACAGGAUGCCUAGUCUGAAUGCUUUACACCAUUGUAACUUGCUCAGGUGUAAUCCCACUGGUUCAAGUUGGAAUGAUACAUUUUCUAAUGUAGAUUAGGCUUAGUGCUCAACCACACUGGAUGCAACUGGUGGCAUCCAAAACAUCCACUCUUCAUCCAUCAACAAUAGAUGUGCUUAUUUGCUGAAUGAUUCCACUCUCAUGACUGGUAGUAAAACAGUUAACAAUGCCCGUGCUUAACUCUGGGCUUGUCUACAUUGGCAAGGUUUGUCACCAAAAACUGGCUUUUGGCGACAAAACAGCAAUAGCAUACACACUGCAAUGUGACUUUUUUUGAAAAAACGCCUAGUUUUGGCGACAAACAACUUCCACCCCUGCGAGAGAAUUGUCUUUCCCCCUCCCUUUAUUGUUGACAGACAUGCAGUGUAGACACAAAGUUUUUUUCCCCCCCAAUUUUAUUGGCCUACAGAAAGUAUCCCACAAUUUCCAGGCUGCCUCUCUGGUCAGCGGUUUGAACUCCGCUGCCCUGUAGCCAACCCGCCCCUUCCCCUUGCAAGACCCAGGAAUUUUAAAUCUCAUUGCCUGCUGGCUUCCCAGAGGAGCUUCCCAGGUAGCUUCCCAGGUGAGCAUGGCUGGCUAUCGCACCAAACGUGCCCCUGCUUGGACCAUUGCUGAGUUGUUGGAUCUGAUCAGUAUAUGGGGAAAGGAGUCUGUUCAGUCGCAGCUGCGAGUGACCCAUAGAAAUUGGGACACAUAUGGGCAGAUUUCUCGAGGCUUGUGUGAAGAGAGCUAUGAUCGGGACACGCAGCAAUGCAGAGCAAAGAUAAAGUAGCUGAGGCAGGCGUACCAUAAGGCGUGGGAGGCGAACCAUCACUCCGCUGGUGCACCUAAGAUCUGCUGCUUCUAUAAGGAGCUGAAUGCUAUCCUCGGUGGUGCCCCCACCUUCAUCACCGAUAGCCCCGUGGAUAUUUUGCAGGCAGCAGAAAGAGAGGGUAUCCCGCAGGCUGAAAUUCUGGAUGAAGAAGUCAAGCUAGAAGAGGAUGUGGUGCUCUCAGUGGGGCAGGCAGCCAGGAACUUUUCUCCACUCCAGAAGUGCUCAGUGGGGAGCCGGAAGCAGAUGAGAUGUCGGCACAGACCUUGAAGAACAUGCCACGCACCCCCGUGGACUAGCUUCGGCAGAUAAGAAAAAACCCUAGGCGCAGCAAAGAAGACAUGUUCUGGGUGGUGCUGCAGCGCGAUGAGAGACAGACCAGGGAAUGGAAAGAGUGCUGGGAAGCCAAAAGGCAGGGCAGAAAAGAGAAUGCUGCUUUUGCUAGGCAAGCAACAGAGCGGAUGAUAAAAGUUAUGGAGGAUCAGAGAGAGAUGCUCAAGUCUUUGAUACAGCUGCAGACUGAGCAGAUCGGUGGUCGACCUCCACUGCAGCACAUGCAGAUGCACAAUUCUUUGCCAACCCCACCCCCCUCUGUGCCCACACAUUCCUUUUCACUUCACAGCACUUCUGAGUUUUCCCAUCACUCCACCCCCUUUCACAGCUUGCACAAUGAUAGCUGGAGCUACACACAGUUGUGAGGUUUUACCCUUUUUAACAAUAAAUAAAGGCUAAGGUAUUUAAUGGUA